Molecule: ribosomal RNA, 337 nt
Filed under: uncultured bacterium
Lineage: Bacteria
Description: bacterial SSU rRNA
Rfam family: Bacterial small subunit ribosomal RNA
Source: RNAcentral
AAUCAACGCUGGCGGCGUGCCUCAGACAUGCAAGUCGAACGCGAAAGUUCCCUUCGGGGAGCAAGUAGAGUGGCGCACGGGUGAGUAACACGUAGGUAAUCUACCUUUGGAUUGGGAAUAACCACCGGAAACGGUGGCUAAUACCGAAUAAUGCAGCGGCACCUAAUGGUGACAGUUGUUAAAGCGGGGGAUCGCAAGACCUCGCGUCUGAAGAGGAGCCUGCGGCAGAUUAGCUAGUUGGUAAGGUAACGGCUUACCAAGGCGAUGAUCUGUAGCCGGCCUGAGAGGGCGGUCGGCCACACUGACACUGACAUACGGGUCAGACUCCUACGGGAGG